This 253-nucleotide ribosomal RNA is filed under the name uncultured bacterium. RNAcentral describes it as "partial 16S ribosomal RNA". It matches the Rfam family "Bacterial small subunit ribosomal RNA", at positions 524 to 776 of the family's 1533-position model. The record is from RNAcentral.
UACGUAGGCAGCAAGCGUUGUCCGGAUUUAUUGGGCGUAAAGAGCGUGUAGGCGGUUAGGUAGGUCCGUUGUGAAAACUCGAGGCUCAACCUCGAGACGCCGAUGGAAACCAUCUGACUAGAGUCCGGAAGAGGAGAGUGGAAUUCCUGGUGUAGCGGUGAAAUGCGCAGAUAUCAGGAAGAACACCCGUGGCUAAGGCGGCUCUCUAGUACGUGACUGACGCUGAGACGCGAAAGCGUGGGGAGCGAACAGG